RNAcentral lists this ribosomal RNA (257 nucleotides) under uncultured Actinomycetes bacterium. RNAcentral's name for it is "uncultured actinobacterium partial 16S ribosomal RNA". It matches the Rfam family "Bacterial small subunit ribosomal RNA", at positions 28 to 276 of the family's 1533-position model. Lineage: Bacteria; Bacillati; Actinomycetota; Actinomycetes. The record is from RNAcentral.
GACGAACGCUGGCGGCGUGCUUAACACAUGCAAGUCGAGCGCUGAAGCUUCUUUGGGGUGGAUGAGCGGCGAACGGGUGAGUAACACGUGGGUGACCUGCCCUCAGCUCUGGGAUAAGCCUGGGAAGCUGGGUCUAAUACCGGAUAUGACCUUCUCUCGCAUGGGGGUUGGUGAAAGUCUGUGUUGUGAGACAUGGGCGGUUGGGAUGGGCCCGCGGCCUAAUCAGCUUGUUGGUGGGUGAUGGCCUACCAAGGCGG